Molecule: long non-coding RNA, 304 nt
Organism: Protopterus annectens (West African lungfish)
Lineage: Eukaryota; Metazoa; Chordata; Ceratodontiformes; Protopteridae
Exons: 5
Source: RefSeq, a predicted model, not a curated record
UGCUUGGGACUAACAUUACUAUCAAAGUUCUCUGUGAUUUGAUGGCUGCCUCAAAGAACUCCCCAUAUUCUGGAUAUAUAGCAGUUUCCAAUUUGAUGCUGGCAACCUUUGGUUUGAAAUGUUUGGAUGCAAGCUACAAGAAAUUCCUGGAAGAUAUGACCAAUGUCUCUUGGGAUGGGCCUGCUGCAGGAGGAGAAAGGCAGUGGAUAUAUCAGACUUGUACAGAGUUUGGAUUCUACCAGAGCACAGAUUCACCUAAUCAGCCUUUUACAGGUUUUCCACUGAAGUAUCACCUGCAGCAGUC